UGAUUGCCAUAGCUCCGAGUCUGAUGAGCUAAGUCACUCACUCUGCCGGUGCCGUUCAGGUGUGUUCGGCACAAGAACAGAGCGGAAGAAGAUAGGCACUUCAGACCAGUGGCCGAAUUUUGGCCCAAGGGUAAGGUUGGAAAUGAUCUUGCCUCCCGUGUUUGGAAAGGUGUUCCAUGGCUCUACAA
RNAcentral lists this non-coding RNA (188 nucleotides) under Vibrio aerogenes. Its description in RNAcentral is "MoCo sequence". It matches the Rfam family "Molybdenum/Tungsten riboswitch aptamer (Moco RNA motif)". Lineage: Bacteria; Pseudomonadati; Pseudomonadota; Gammaproteobacteria; Vibrionales; Vibrionaceae. The record is from RNAcentral. RNAcentral also lists the same sequence under 1 other name.